UUUCAAAAUGAGGACCCCCCCUCGGGGUGGCCAGGACCUGCCUGUCUGAAAGGUUCCGGCGAAGCGGCGAGCACAACGGGCGUGGUGUGCAGGCUUAAGGAAUGCGAAAGGAGAAUAAGGAUAAAGUCCUCAGCUGCUGCUCCAGCAUGUGCCUGCAUGCCACCAUGCUUCCUGCCAUGAUGAUAAUGGACUAAACCUUUGAAACUUUAUGGACCAGGAAUUCAUGAACACCUUAGCUGAGUGAUUCUGGAUCCAGAUGUCUCAAAAAGUUGCAGAUCUGAAGGCUGGGAAGGCCAAGAUCAUGAUGCUGGCCAAUUUGGUUUUUGGUGAAGGUCCUCUUCCUGCGUGUAUCCUCACGUGGGAGAACCAGAAAGCUCUGUUGUGUUACCAUUUUCUUACAAAGGCACCAAGCUCACGUGGGUUCCACUGUCAUGGUCUUACUUAGACCUAGGCACCCCCAAAGGCCCAUUCUAAGACCACCACAUUAGAGGUUAGGACUUUAGAUAUGGAUGGAGCACAAAUGUUUAGUUUGCUGGUGACAGUUUAAUCCUGUGACAUGUGAGAGGGGAUGAGACACUGUGAAGUAAAGAGGGCCCUUCUGGAGACUGGCCCUUCUGGAGACUGGCCAUUACAAUCCUGAACUGAAUUGCUUUAAAACUGGGACUUGUUUAAAGGUUAUCUUGUACAAAACUCUAACCAAUAGGAUAACAAACUGAUGUUUACAAAUGAGAUAGAGGGCUAUGGGUGUAGCUCAGUGGUAUGCACCUGCCUAGGAGUUAGGAGAUCCAGGGUUUGAUCUAUAUUGAGAAGUGGAGGAUGGAGUAGGUGUUUUCUCUUUUUAUAUCCAUAGAGUUAAAAACAAGUGAACUGUUUCCUGUACAAUCUUUGUGGUGAAUAAGGCAUUUCCAAUCCACCCUAUUAGAGUCCUGAUCAUUUUGCAGAUCUCGGGUACAGAAAUUUACCUGGGCGAUGAGAAACUAUACGCCCUUAUUGAUAGGGUGAUGCCAGCAAAAGUGAGCCUAGUGAGCUAAGAUGAAAGCAAUGUUAACCAGCGGACAGAAGCACCUCACAAUAAGCAGUCAAGGUUCUUGGAUGACGAACGCUGAGUGAAGCUGAGAAUUCUGUCUGUUUUCAUUACAGCUCAGAAUGAGGAAGCCCCAAGCAAGUAUUCCAGGCUGACAGUGUCCUAAUGCCUAGCUGGUGUAUCAGCACUCAUUCUCCCCCAGCAGGGGGUAGG
Long non-coding RNA from Peromyscus californicus insignis, 1237 nucleotides. RefSeq lists it as uncharacterized. The transcript is spliced from 4 exons. Lineage: Eukaryota; Metazoa; Chordata; Mammalia; Rodentia; Cricetidae. The record is from RefSeq and is a predicted model, not a curated record.